This 13957-nucleotide long non-coding RNA is filed under the name Mytilus galloprovincialis (Mediterranean mussel). Lineage: Eukaryota; Metazoa; Mollusca; Bivalvia; Mytilida; Mytilidae. The record is from RNAcentral.
UGCAUCUUCAUCAACCGAUAGGUAAGCUUUCCCGCCAAAAUGUCCAUGUUUGGAAUAUGAGAAAAAGGAGUUAAUAGAAAUUCAUAUUGGAUGUAACAAGGAUAUAAUUAUUAUAAUCAGUGUUUUAUUUCACUGUUUAAUGUGUUCUCAAUUUGUGAGUAUGUAACUGUUCAAGACAUUUCAAUAGCGGAACGGAAGAACACAUUUUGACCGGUUUAGGCUAUACUGAUUGUCCUUUUUAAUUUAUAAUCUUUAAAUUUUUUUGAUAAGUUUGGAUUUCAUUUUUUUGGCUAAUAGUUUGGCUAAGAGUAUCACUGAAGAUUAUUAUCGAAACAAUCAACUAGUGUAGAAGGUACUGUUAAUUUAAUAUUUAUUUUUAAAAAAGUGAUAAUAAGCAUAUUUUCUUGAACAGAAAACAAGAUGUUGGUUUUUUUUUUCUUAAAAGUCCAUUUUUUAGUUUCCAUUUUCUAACGGUAUCUUUGACUGUUUUGAAAUCGUGAAAUAAUUCUUGUCCGGUCCUCUCAAAAUAAAUUCAAAAUAAGUGUGAAAUGUUUUAAAUAGUUUUCGAUAUAGUUUCAUAAUAAUUAGCUACGGCAGGUAUGUUUUAAUAAGUUUAAUAAAAUUGUGUUGUACAUAAUUUGAUUCCGCAUUUAAAUGAUUAUCAUUCAAUUUUUUUUUAUUUCGUUUUUCUUUCUUUUGUCUUUGUUGUCAUUGAUGCAUUUGAAGAUCUGGUUUAGAGAUUAUAUUUGUUCUAUUGUUCUAAAAAUAAUGAAUUGAUAGAGUUUACAAAAUUUAGAUUUUUUGAAAUACUAAGGCUUUUCUUCCUCGGGCAUAGAUUACCUUAGCUGAAUUUGGCAAAACUUUAGGAUGUGGCCCAUGCUCUUCACUUCGUACCUAUUGCUUUUUAACUUUUGGAUUCGAGCUCACUGAGUCUUUUGUAGACGAAACGCGCGUCUUGUGUAUAUACAAAAUGUAGUCCUGGUAUCUAUGAUGAGUUUAUUUACAUUUAUCUUCAUGUAACCCUGUUUUGUCUACACGUUUGUAGUGUUCCUGAAUGUUAAAGCGACACUUUCGAUAAUAUCAGUAUUAUUUACAUUUCGAUGUAAUGUUUUUAAAAGAUAAUGCUAUUUACUAAUUAAGAUACUUAAUGUAUUUCGUAUUAUAUACUCCAUUUGGAAAAUAUUACAAAUCGAGAGAGGGGUAAUCUUACAUAUUACGAAGAAUCUUUAAUGUUCCGAACUUCAUUACUGUUUUUAAGUUGUUUUUUGUUAGAGUGCAUAUAACAUGGAAUUUCAAAUAAAAGCAUAGAAAUUUUAAGCAUGAAAGAUGACAUUUUUAAUGCGACAAACUUAACUAUAUAUGCUUCGAAAAAAACAAGAGAUUUCAACAUAGUAAACAAUCUUAAACUCUUAUCAAAUUAAAUUGUUAUAAAGUUAUUUAAGUCAGUCAUGUAUAUCGGCGUUUAUUUUUGUUGCAGUUCAGUGUUUAUGUUGUUCCGUUGUUUUUCUCUUAUAGUUGAUUUUUUCUCAUUUAGCUUGCAUCGUUUUUUUUGGUUUGUUAUAAAUCGAUUUAUGUCUGCUGAACAGUGGUAUACUACUGUUGCCUUUAUCUAUACUUACUUCUCCAUAGUUUACAUUGUGUUCCUUGCAAUCUACAUCAUUGGCUUAGUUUAUCAAAACAUACAGCAGUGAUCCAUAUAGUUCAACAGAUAGUUAAACAGUGUACAUAAAAAAUAAACCACAAUCGUUUCCUAACUUUGUUAGACCUAAUCAAGAGAUCAUUCGACUAUUUUCAUACGUCCACCAUUUCAGUGGGCCUAUUUCUUUGAAUUACAAAUUUAUUCAACAAAUUAUUCCUAGAUAUAGGUUAAGAUAUGAGGAUUGACGUAUUUAAAGGGAAAAUUAAUGCUUAUAACUAUAUUUCAACAGCGUCUUUAUCUUAUGAUUUUUUUUUCAGGCAGUGAUGAAUAUUUUAGGGCCCUUGCUUUUACUGGCCUUCGCCGGCCAGGUAAAAGCUUGGUGGGCACAACCUACUGGUUACGGAGGCGGACAUGCACAAGCUUCUGCCCACGCAUCUGCAACAGCACAUGCAUCUGGAUAUGGCGCAACACACUCAGCAGGAUACGGAGCUUCGACACAUUCGUCAGGCUAUGGAGGUGGACAUGCUGCGGCCGCUGGUCAGCAGGGAGGGAACUAUUCUCCACCGGGAUACGGAUACGGCAGCUAUACUAAACCUGUUGACUGCGUAGUAUCUGCCUGGGGUGCCUGGAGUCAACCCGAUGCUAGUGGCUACUCUAGUCGUUUCAGACAAGUGAAAACAACGCCAACUAAUGGUGGACGUAGUUGUCCAGUAUUGGUUGAAACGAAACUUGGUAAGUCUUAGCAAUAAAAAUAAUUUGUUGUUUAAACGUGAGCCUAAUCCAAAUACGGAUACUUUUUGACAAAAUUGAAACAUUUUCCUUUUCAAACAAAUUUUUAACAGUUCGUAAGAACUAUUCUAAGAAACAAAAACAUGGAGAACAUGUUUUUUCAAGAAAAGGACCAGUGUCAUCAACAUUGAUAAAAAGUUUAUUUUAAAAAUUUAAUAUGCUUAUGGUUGUCAAAGGUAGCAGGAUUAUAAUUUAGUACGCUAGACGCGCGUUUCGUCUACAUUAAUGGCAUUGAAUACAAGGAUUCAUUAUUACUCGUUGGAUACCAAUUUUCUUAGGUUCCGUUGGUACAGGUGAACCACGAUUUCAAAAUGGUCAACAAAUUACAAAUUUUAUAUAAGCUUUGUAUGCAGGAACUGGCAAAUGAACGAAAUUAAAUUUCCAGGACAAUCUAAUUUUUCCUAAAUCCACGAAAAUUGAUACUCACGGAAAUAAAUGAAUCCACAGUAUGCAACUUUUUAUGCAUAAACUAGUCAAGAGACUUUAACAGUAAAAAAUCUAAAACCUAGUUUAUAUGUUCUUGAACUCAAAAUGUUAAUAGCUUUUCUUGAAGUUAAUAGUCACUGGAAAUGAAACUGCUAAAGAAAAUAUAGUGAUCUGGUCAAAAAAUUGAACUUGACAACUUUAACGACAUCCAUAUAAAACAAUUUCUAAAUAGCGAGUAUAAAUGAAAAUAAUAUUUUUUUUUUAUUCAAACAGUCACAAUCGACUGCAAGAUGGGGCCAUGGGGCGACUGGGUUGCCAUAGAUGGCGCUCCUGGUAACUACAAUCGAAAAAGGGACACAUUGGUUCAUCCACUUAACGGUGGUCAAUCUUGUCCUCCUUGUACUGAAUACAAAAGAGGUAAGGUUUUUUACAUUUACAAUUUCUAUAUCAAAGAUAUUAUUCGGGGUAUUGGUAGAAGCAGUUCUCUAUACAGUCUCACCUCGCUAUUAAGUUACACUUAUAAUAUAUAUAUAUGUGUGUGAUUUAGACUGAUUUUUUAAAAAUCAUAAUAUAGAGUAAUGAUAGAGGUAUAGAGUUGUUUUUUAUCGACCUUGUGUUGAACUAUUGUUUACAUAUGAUUGCACAAUGAUAAAACCAGAGUUCCCUUAUUUAAUUUUUAAUGGUGCAUGUGCAUCUUCGAAUAUGAGAGAGGUUAACUGUCACUUUCCUUGAUCACACAUCUUAACUAAACAGUUCUUAGAUAAUUACAUCAUUUUUACAAGGUUGUUGAUGUUAAAAAUAUUUCACUUUUUGGAAUAAAUUUGUUAUAAUAAAAUAUUUGAUAUAGUCGAUAGAAAGAACACCACAUUUGACAUUACUGAACUUAAGUGUCAAGAUCAUAUCUAUAGAUAAAAAAGAGUAGGUGGUGAUUUCAAUUUGAUAAAAACAAUUAUAAACAAAAAAAAAUAUAAUCUUUCCUGAUCAACUUUAUGCAAUCAAUCACCAAGGAUGACCCCAUUAUUUAUCAACAUCACGAUUAUUUCUGAAUCCAUGCAUCUAAGAAUUUAGUUCAUUAAUUAAGCUACUUCUUAGCAUACUAGAUUUGAAAAAAGGACCAUGUUUGACGAAAUGUUUUGUGGGUUUCAACGACAUAUAUUAAUAUAAUCUACUUUAUUCGUUGAUGGGGACUCGUGUGUAUCGUAACGUGUUAAUUAUAUGUAUGUAAUCUGUGUAUGCUAUAUUGGCAUUUUUUGUUGCAAUUCGGUAAUACUGUUGUGUCGUUGUUUUCCUUUUUUAGUUAAUGUGUUUCCCUCGGUUUAAGUUUGUAACCCGGAUUUGUUUUCUCUCAAUUGAUUUAUGACUUUUGAACAGCGGUAUACUACUGUUGUCUUUAUAAAACUCAUGUUUGCCGGUCUUUUUUUUAUCAUUUUUUCAUGUUAAGGGUCUUUUACUUAAUUAUUCAAUAACAUCAACGGAACCAAUUUUAUUGGAACCAGAUGCAUUUCGACAAUUUAUGUUUCUUUAUUAAUGAUCGAGGCAAAAUAUUUGAAAGUCAAUAAACUAGUACAAACGUUGAAAAGCUGCUUGUAUGGACGUAAAGGGGACAGACAUAGGUUAAGUAAUAUAAAUCAUAAAAUCACUAGUAAUUUGUUUGUGUCAACCAUUUUCAUAAAUACAUUCUGAGCUUCAAGAUUAAAUAGAUUAUUCCCAAUCCGUUUCAGGUAAAUGCUUAAAACAAAUUGAUCAAACUUGGCUUUUAUGAACGUAUAACUGAUUUUAAGAGUUAUCUCCCUGAACAUUAGUAUCGGAUUACAACAAUGUUCUUUGUCGUCCAUAGAUUAUCAAAUGCUUUAAGAUUUUUUAGUUACCCAUAAUCUAACUACUAGUAAAUUGUUGAUAAUAUGCAUCCUCAGUCAUGUCAAAACUGGCUAAAAGUGCUUUUUAGAUGUUUAAAAAGACAAUAUUUUAACACAUAGUUCAAUGUUAAAAUGAAAGAAAGCCGAACGCUAUAUUCCGUACGUGUUACUAUAAAAGGAAUUAUGAUUAUUAACUCGUGGCUAGAACUGUUCUCGUUCAGAUUGUUCAAAAGUACAAAAUUACAACACAGCCACACUAAUUUUCAAUAGGUAAAUUCGACAAGAGAUUCGAAAGCAUCAAUACGAUGCAUGUGCAAACGGUCAAUGACAUUAGAAUCAAUAACUUUUUAUAUCUUUUUAUGAGUUAUUUUUUUUUUUCAAAUAUUAAUCAUCGAAUUUUGAACAGGCCAAUACAAAAACACAUGCGACGGGACCACGUUAGACUCGAGGUUGUGCAGCCCACUACUCAAUGUUAGCUAUACAAAAUAGAAAGAUAAUGAAACUAAUUCGACACGCAAAAUUGUCUUUAUCAUUAAUGGCUCCAAAUUAAUCAUUGGAAACCAAAGAGCAUCAACUACUAAAAAACUGAAGACGAAAAUGUCGAAAGGAGAAUCUAAAACUAACUAAAGACAACAUUUCCUUAUCUUAAAACUUAUAAAGUUUUAAAAAAGAGUGAGAAAAACAUAAAUCAAAACAUCACAACAUGGUUGGAAACCACAAUUGUCGUCCCUUGAUUUUCGUUGUUUUUGUUGUUCACAAAUAUAAUCCCUAGUGUUGACAUUGGUUACUUGCCAUUAAUUUUUAUACCUCUUCCAAAUUUAUUUCUCCAUUUUUAAUGCCUCAAAUUGCAAGAAGGGGGUGAAAUUACACUGUAAAAAAAUUUGGGUUCAAAAUUUUAAAGGAAAGUAGUGAUUUGGUCCAGCUGAAAAAAGUUGAAAAUUAGCACUUCGGAAGCUGUCAAAAGAUUUCAAGACGCCCUAAACAUAAAAUUGUCCAUAUUUUGAGUUAGAGCCGAUGAAGUUUUCUAUAAUUUUGAUAUAAUUUGUCCCAAAAAUAGUACAACACACUGUAAAAAUUUCAUUGAGAAAGCGCAGGUGGGAUUUUUUUAAUUUUCAUUUAUCUUCUAAAAGAAAUGCACUACGAAAUAAUUGUGGUCUCGGAUCACAUGAGCAAACUGGUCAUUGAUCAAAUUAUUCAGAUAAUCUCAACAUGAUCAAACUUGUCAUUGUUCUGAUUAUUCAGAUUUUCUCAACAUGGAAUAAAUAGGUGAUUGUUCAAAUUGUUCGGUUCAUCUCAACAUGAACAAACAGGUUAUUGUUCAGAUUAUUCCGACCAUCUUCACCGGAACAAUCAAAUAAGAGUUCAGAUAAUUCAGACCAAUUCAACAUGAACAAACUGAGCAUUGUUCAGAUAUUUCAGAAGACAGAUCAUUUCAACUUUAACAUUUGAAGAUUAUUUUUCAGAUAAUUUUGAUCAUCUCACAAUGAAAAUGAGCCCACCCGUCAUUGUUCGGGUAAUUCAGAUCAAGUCAAAAUGAUCAUACGGACUAUUGUUUAGCUAGUUCCUAUAAUUACAACAUAGCAUAACAUGUCAUUUUUAAAAUAAAUAAAAUGAUCUCACAAUGACCAAACACGUAGUUGUUAAGAUAAAUCAGAUGAUAUCAAUAUAAUCAAACAGGUUUUUGUCCAGUUCAGAUAAUUAAGAUCUUCUCAAAAUAACCAAAAAGAAAUAGUUUAGAUAAAUCAGAUCAUCUCAAAAUGACCAAACAGAUUAUUGUUCAGAUAAUUCAGAACAGAUUACAUAGAAAGAUGGUCAGGUAAAAAAUAAAUGUGUCAUAUGAUCAUUAAUAGUUAUCCCACGAUGACGCGGUGUGUCAGUGUAAGAUCACCCCGAUGGCCGGAGGCCAGAGGGUGAUCUAACACUGACACACCAAGUCCGAGUGGGAUAACUAUUUUACAUACCAGCUGUUUUAGAUUAGACGAAAAACCAUUUACAAUUCAUAAAAUCUAGUUUAGAACGCCACACAACCAUUAAAAUAUACUUUAUACAUUACUAUAUGAUUUAUACCCUUUUUGACCCCCGAACACGAUGAGUAGAUAUCAAACAAUGUCAACUCGCCUCACUGGCCAAUCAGCCCAACCUAUAUCGCCACUUUAUGAAAAAAAUCGCCCCACUCUUGUUUACCGACUUGCCCCAGUUUUGAAAAAGUGUAAAAUCAAACUGAACAAUCACUGACAACUCACUUAUUAACGAAAAGGGUUUAAACCUCACUGAAUAAAGGUCUGCCAACUCGCCCCACUUAUGAAAAUAUCUUGCUUCCCUUAAGUAUGUUAAAUUACUGAUAGUUCGUAUCCAGUCGUCUUAGUGUAGUGGUUGUGUCGUGGCUUGAUAUGCUAAAGGUCUUGAGUUCGAAUCCCAGCAUAUACACUGGAUUUUUUCUACGUGAAUUUUGAUAGAUAGUCUUUUCGAUAUAAUUUUUAUAUUUAAUUAUAAGUUUUAUAGUGGAUUUGACAUUCCCGCCAAAUGUUACAGAACAAAGGAAAGCAUGCAUAACAAAGAAACUCAAACUGGGGUGAUCUGGUAAGGGUGGUCCGGCUCAGAUCACCCCUGUUAGAACAAAGGAGCUGGGAUGUAACUCUGCUUCUCAAAAUACUUUAUCCUAGAAACAAUAUUUUUCCUUGAAAGUUAGAUUCAUCAAUUGACAACCAUAGGUCGGCGAACUACGAAUAUAAAAUGUAGAUUAUGCGUCAUCAAUAAAUCUACUCUGCACAUUCCGAAACGUAUUCUAAUGAUUUGCAAUAUAUUCAUGACUUUACUUGCGCGUGUCAAUAAUAAUGAAGUUUAUCUAAUAAAAUGGACUUAUAUGAUAUCCUGUUAAUUUUUAUUGAGAUGUUAUUAGACAGAGUUAGGAGUUAUAAAGGCGUUACCAUAUGUAACACGUUGCAGAACUAGCCAUUGAAAAUUAACGAUUUAGAGAGUCUUUUAUGUGACAAAUAAACAGUUGAAAUGAACUUAGCAUAAAGUGCCGACGUACGCGACUAUAUAACUAGUAUCAAUUACAUGUUAGAAGCACUUCAACUUGAUUUCAUAUAUAUUGCAAAAAAGUAUAAAAAUUAAGUCACUUGAAAUAUCGACUUUUGAAAUCGUCAUCGGGCUUAAAUUUUCUGUUGAAUUGAAAGAUUUUCUAGAUAGUCGAUUCAUUUGAUAGUUUAUGAGGCUUCUAAAUUAGAACAAUGAUUUAGUUUGCAUAAUUGCAAUGUUCGUAAUAAAUGAUCAGUUUUUUGCUUUAAAACACUGUGAUAUCAGUUAUGAUCAACAUUACUGUUGAAUUUUUCUUUAUCAGUUUCAGCGAGGGAAUUUCAUAUGGCUGCCGAUUAAACAGUUGAAAUAAAAUCAUACAUUAUUUGCAUUCAUGUAAUUUUGAUACAUUAUGCAAACAAAUAAAUAAUGAACGAUUUGCAUUUGUGGAAGUUUUAAAUAGAAAUAGAUAACUCUGUUCCCGUGACCAAUAUGGUACAAUAAUUUGAAGCAUAAAUUUAAUGGAAAAAAAAUAUAUGCCUUUAAAAAAGAUGUUAAUCAAAUCCGAUUUCUACUAUUACCUUUAACCUUUUGUUUAUUCUAAAUAUUGUUAAGCAGUGCAUUUAAAAAAAAAUGUUUUUUUUUUCAUUUCCGUAUUUCUUGAUGAAAUGAUGCUUUGAAAAGUCAAAUUCUUCUGACAUAGAGCGUAAUGUUUUAGAUAAUUGCACAUAUAUAUACAUAUUCCUAUAUGAAAACAAAUAAGUCUAAAUUUUAAUCUUUUAGUUAUACGAAAAAAUUCCUUAGAAACUUUAGCGAUCAUGUCUAUAUUUUGUAAACGACUAGUUUUAUAUUUUGGAAUGUUUUGGAUUUCUAUAUUUUUUGGUCUUGAUAAAAGUUAUGUAAGAAGGACGUGGCAUUCGCACGGAAAUGAGAAGCAUAUGUUUGUUUUCUAAUCUUUCAAACCUGCGAUAUUAAAUUGUAUAUAAAUGCCAAAAUGCAAAAUCUAUAUUAAAAAAAAAAGUAUUAUGCAGUUUCUAAUUACAUUGAAAAUAUAUAACUAAAAACAUUACUUUAUGGUUGAAAUAUAACAGCUUUCAAUUGUUAUUUAGCAAAAUAAGAAAAUGAAUAUAAAUGAGAAAUUUUCAUCGUCCGUUUUUGAAGACAUUCCCUUAUGCUUAAUUGAUUUUGAAUUGAAAAUUCCGACAGUAUGUAGAUUUUUUAUCCAACCCACAUAUGUUGCCAAUAUUAAAACGUUGAAUUAACGGAGUCUUUCUUUAAAACUAAUCGACGAAAAUCUGUUACAAAAUACUAAAACUCUAUUUAUUAAAGAAGAAUGUCAAUAAAAAAAGAAAGAAAAUAAGUAGUAUUUAUAUCCCAACUCAUGAAAACAUCCAUGUUAACUAAUAAAUGUCAUUUACAUGCAUAUUCAGUGACAUGUAGACAUUCCUAUGCAUAACUGCAGACUGUUUACACGGUUGUCAGAGUUUAAUCCUUACUUUAUAUCAUAAAGUGUCUCAUAAAAAUGGCAAACAAAAGUGUAAAGAAAAAAAUAUUAUUUUGAUAAACCAUCAUUCAUAAACUCGCCUUAGAAAAAUAUACUAACGCUUAUACAAUUAUCGGGUUACUAUCCGUACUGAUCUGUGUCCACACUUGUUUUGAUAAAAUUAAAAAAAAUAAAAAAACAUAAUCCAUUCUCAAUUUUAUUUAUAUAUAGAUUUUAAUCAAACAAACAAAAAACAUAUCCACGAAACAAAUAGAACAUUGGAUCUAUUUAUGAAAUUACAUGAGUUAAAAUUAUUUUUUUUAAAGCCAAUUAAAAACUAUUGGACAAGAAACGAUAACUAUAUAUAGAUAUCGAAAGUUGUGGUAUGAGAGCCAACGAGACAACUCUCCAUCCAAGUAACAAUUUAUAAUGUAACCAAUAUACCUUUUUAGCACAAAAAACACACGAUAAUGUACAAUAUCAUAAAGUUCUUAUCAAAACCUCUUACAGAAACACUUAAUUAACAAAUAAGGGUAUAAUGGGCUAAAAUCUUAACUCCACUAAUGACAAUACUAUAGAUGAUACAAUCUAUAUAAAAAAAGUUUUAAAGUUAUUAGGGAUACAGUAAGAGACCAUUUUGUUGUAAAAAUGAAAUCGUCAUGCUUACAUUCUUAAAAGGAGUUUACUAAUUGUGGUAUAGUAUUCACUUAAUUAACGAUGGAAGAUAUUUCAGGCCACGCAGAGAAUAAUAACAAAACGAAUGAUUUUAAUGACAUCUGAUUUCAUACUCGUAAUUAGUUCAAAAAUUUUACAUGCAGUCCAAAUCAACUUAGUUUUAAUUAUCAAGUGACUACAAGAUAUGAAUUUAAUUACGCAAUAAGUUUACCUUUCAACUCCGCAUUUGAUCAAUAGAUUUUAUAACUGCAAAUGGAAUAUAUAUUAAAAACUGUUUUUAUCUCUCUUUUAACUAGUCAAGGUCGAUUGUGUAGUUAGCCCAUGGGGAAGCUGGUCAACCACUCCCGAUGAGUCAGGACACGUUGUGAGGUAUAGAAAGGUUGUACAGUAUCCACUGAAUGGAGCUGGCCCUUGUCCUCAUAUAGAGGAAUACCGAGCAGGUAAAGUCAUCAGAUUAAAAAAAAAAUUAAAUGUUUGUAAAUGUUCAUGAUAAUGAUAAAUACCAAUAAUAGUGGUACAUCAUCUUUUGGUAACACGUUUGCUGCUGUAUUCAAAUACUUACUCUCAAUUGACGUGAUAUUGAAUUUAUAGUAAAAGACAAUCAAGAUUAUCAAAAUGAAAAAAAAAUUGUCUGUCCGGAGAGCUUUUCUCGGUUUUUAUCUUGAAUGCUCAAACUGAAAGAUUGUGUAUUUUGUUAUCAGAUAAACUGCUAUUAUUGACCGCUUAACCGAAUGCGUUUCUUUUUAUUUCCUAACAGUCCCAUUGCCUUGUCUUGUAUGCGAGUGGUCAAAAUGGAGCGAAGUAGACGAGACAGGAACAAUCUACAGAUCCAGGAAGGUUAUUAGACCAGCCAUGAACGGAGGAAAAGGUUGCCCACCUCUUAUUGAAAUCAAAAAAGGUAAACUCAUCUACUGAUUACUCAAACUAAAAUGGAAAUAUUAUUUUAAGCAUAAACAAAAGAGGAAGCUUUCAAAGUUAUCAAUGUAAAUUGUUGUACAACUAAGAGGGGAAAUAAAAAUAAAUAUCGUAUCUACUAUAUAAGAGGAUCUGGGCGGGGUCUAGAGAAUAUAUAAUAAUGCCCACACAAUCAAUAUACAUACCCUGAUAUAACAGACGUGGAUGAAAACUUAGAUUAACUUUUGAUAACUAGUUUGAAUAAAGAGAAAUGAAAAAUUCGGCUUGUGUGUUUUUUAAAGGGGGCGACAUUGUUUAUUCCGACAAACAAAAAUCCGAACUAUCCACUUAAAAAAUGCAAUAAUAUCAAACCUUUUUAACAGUUCCAUUGCCAUGCAUCGUCAAUCCAUGGACUGAAUGGGCUGGCCCUGACCAUACCGGAACCAUGUACAGAACCAGAUGUGUAAGACGUCCUGCCCUAAAUGGUGGCACAGCUUGUCCAGCCUUGAUUGAAAUGAAAAAGGGUUUGUGCAUCUUUUCUUAAACAGAGAUAGAAAUGAAAGGGGAAAACUAUUCGAUGUUAUUAAUCAGCUAUGUCGUUAUUUCAGACAAAUAUGCAAAAAAUUCAAAUGAGAUAUUAGACAAAAACGUAAAAUAACUUACAAUCAAUUUCAUUGAAAAUUCAUUUUAAGGAAUAGCUCCUGUUGUUUUUAAUUAUGAUGCUUCUGGCCAUUUACUCGAAUCAUAUGUAUAUAUAGAUGUAUGUUUAAAUUUGGAUUGCAGCUACACUUUUGAUAUGUUUUAAGGAUAAUAUGACAUAUAUCUGAAAAUGAGUUUAUAAUCUGUAUAAAUCUUCUAAACGAAAACCAAUCUUAUAUUUUCUUUCUGUAGUAGAUUAUUAUUUGAAAUCGUAUAAAUUACAAUGGAAUUAUUUCAAGAAUUAGAUAAUUGAAACAUGUUGAUAAAUAUUAUUUAUCAAUUUUAUAGUUCCUCUUCCUUGUAUUGUUGGUCCUUGGAGCAGUUGGUCAGUGCCAGACGACACGGGUACCAGGUCACGAAUCAGAUUUGUACAAAGACCACCUAUAAACGGAGGUCAUGCAUGUCCUGAAUUGAUACAACUCGGACAAGGUUAGUAUAGCAAGCGUAAACAUUUUCAAUAUGUUUAUAUGAAUGCAUGAUGUGCUUUGUUUUUUUUUUUUUAAAUUGUAGCAUCAUUUUCGUCCGUUUCACUCACUGAAAACUCGAAUUCACUAAUUUCAGUAACACUUUUCUUUGACAGUGUAUUAUCAGAUUUGUGUGCAUCACCAAUAAACAUGUGUGCGCAAACACAUUACUUUGUUGCUUCUUAUGUCAGCUUGCUGUCUAGUUCAUUCCGCGCGCGUCUGAGAGCUCAGACUACCUGUACAUUAUUUAAUGUUCUAUUGUCGAUUUAUAAAACAUGAACUUUUCGUAUUUUCUUUAGAACAAUUGAUAAGUAUUUGAAUGUUAUCUCUCAAUUUUUUUUUCAUUUUCUUUUUACAAACAACAAACUUUUUGUUUAAUUUUGAAAAAGCACUUAAACAGUUAAAUCCGGAAUUCCCUUUAUCUGUUCCGAUACAUACUUUGUUACUUAGAAAAUUGACAUCCGGUAAGAAAGGUUUGCGAAAUUCGAUGUUUUAAAAAAUGACUAUUUUAUUACCACGGUGAUAGAUGCCAUUUCAGACAAAAUUCAGGUAUGGAAGUUAAUAAUAUGAGUCAAGUUUUACCCGAAAUGUAAGCCAGUAAUUGUAACAUGAGACAGGUGUAACGGCUAUUAGUCGAAAAUACCCGUUAAAGACUUAUGUAUUGCUUAAAUAAUAAGUAUUGACUUUUCUGAUGUUACAAGGAAUUCUGUAAUUUUGUAAAGUAUCACUUAAAAUGUAGGUCUUGAACACCACAAAUAUAAAAACCUCGAUAAAAACUGAUCUUUUUAAUAGAAUUCAUGGCCAAUCCUAGAGCAAAGUUUGUAAAACAGCAUCACAAGCUAUCCUUUUUUGUAUUUUUAUUAUUAUUAUAACCCUGAUAACAAGAAUAACUUAAAAUAUAAUUAUAUUUUAACUUUUUGAUGUAAAUUACAAUGAAUAAAUGAAAUAAAUCCCUUUCUAGCACUUUUUCUAGAUGGCACAAAUUAUUUAUGUAUUAUAAAGGAGUAGGUUCAGUAAGACCCCUUUUUAGCCUCAAAAUAUAGCAGUUUUAGAAAAUUGUGAAAAUGUAAUCGUUUAGAUAUUUAUUGCAAAGUAGAAUGCUUCUGCUACAUAAAUAUGGGCUGUUUUUGACAACACAAUGCACAUAUAUCGGGUACUAGCAUCAUUAAGUCAUGCUAAAUUACUGAAAUCUUCACAAUUGUAGCAUUUUAGUUAAAUUUUAGAUGGUUUCCGUCUGAAAUGAAAGUGGCCGCAUUCGUGUUCAUUCAUAAUAUUGAAAUAUAAGUUGUAUUUGAUGAUAUUACAUAAAACAUUGUAUAUAUAAAGGUUGAGGAUGAACGCGGAUGCGGCCACUUUCAUUUUUGACAAAAACCAUCUGAAAAAUGACGAUUUUUGGCAUAUUUGAUAGAUUUUUCAUAUUUAAGCUUGAAUCGGGGCGUUUUAAAUGACUUAUUAAGUUAAAAUCUUCCACAUUAACUAAUUGAAUCAAUUGAAAUAGACACUCAAGUGUUUAGAAAGUGUCUAAAAUCUUUCUUUAGAUGAACUUGAAAAUUGAGCAUGAGAUCGGCCCUUACCGGACCUACUCCUGUGCUUAAAAUAUAUAUAAGAGAGUCACUCUUGACUUAUAAUUCAAUUCAUUUCAAAUAUGUAUUGUCAUAAAAACUCUUAUACAAUGUCUGACAAAUUAUAUGAAUACAAACAUACAAAAAAUACAUUUCACAAACAAAACCAUAGGAAAACAUAUUUCAUAAAUUAUAAAAUGUUAAAAAAAGCAAUAAAAUGUAUUUUUAUAUAUAUGUCCAGUCCAAAUUAAAAAAUAUUUAACCUCCAAAUUUUUACUUUUAUUGUUUUGAGUUAUGCACUUUAUACAAUGAUCUACAACAUAACAUUUCAGAGAAAUGUGUAUUUGCAUUCCAGGUCAUUCAGGUUAUGGCAAUAAAGGCCCUCAUGGGGCAGGUUUGGGUGGGCUUCACCCAGGCCUAGGCCCUGAUGGACGCGCGCUAGCAAAUAGACU